RNAcentral lists this microRNA precursor (81 nucleotides) under Mustela putorius furo (domestic ferret). Its description in RNAcentral is "miRNA (ENSMPUG00000021060.1)". The record is from RNAcentral. Lineage: Eukaryota; Metazoa; Chordata; Mammalia; Carnivora; Mustelidae.
CUAGACUGAGACAGGGGAGAGGGAAGGAGGGAGAACGAAAAAAAGGGAUCACCCUCCUCCUUCCAACCCUGUCUCCCUUCC